This is a long non-coding RNA of Myiozetetes cayanensis, 2130 nucleotides long. RefSeq lists it as uncharacterized. The transcript has 7 exons. Lineage: Eukaryota; Metazoa; Chordata; Aves; Passeriformes; Tyrannidae. The record is from RefSeq and is a predicted model, not a curated record.
GGGCGCGGCGGGCGGAGCGAGCGGAGCCAUGUCGGGCCGGGAGGGCGGCAAGAAGAAGCCGCUGAAGCAGCCGAAGAAGCAGACGAAGGACCUGGAUGAGACAGAUCUGGCAUUCAAACAAAAGCAGAAGGAGGAGCAAAAGAAACUUGAGGAGAUGAAAGCAAAAGCUGCUGGAAAAGGGCCUCUGGCCAGUGGUGGAAUAAAGAAGUCUGGCAAAAAGUAGUUUGAUUAAACUGCAGGGUAAGAAGUGAUCGAGUUACUCAAUGGAUCUGCAGACUUCAGAGAGUUAUGAAAACUCACUGUCAUUUUGGGAACAUUGUACAUUUUGUUUAGUCGGAAUAAAUCCUUUUUGUUAAGAUGUGAUAUUUUCUAUUUCCCUCUAGGUUUUGUUUAAAAAUGGCUUUACUGUUUUACACUGGUAAUGAAAUGUGACCUUGUGCAGCCUGAGUGCAUCUGUGGCGGUUGGUAGUUGUUUGUGAGACUAAAUUUCAGUUUCUGCCCUCUUUUGACAAUGGGAGACAGGGUCUGAGUGUUAAAAUCUGCACAGUUUUAAUCUGGAAGUUUAGGUUUAGCUGCAGGUUUUUGAGAUGCGUGCUCUUGUAAGAGGUGCAAGUUUUCCCUAAAGAAAAAUUGGGUUGUACUUCUGCUGCCAGCAGCUUAGGGUCUGCCAGUCUCCACAACAACACUCCAUUCCGUGUUCCUACUUAACAACGUUGCAGUGCCCUACAGUCCCAGUGCCUGCUGGAUGUACACUUGCCUUUGUCCUACAGAUAGUCACUACACCCUAUUCUCCUGAACUUUUGCAUGUUGUCGUCGCAGCUCCUUUACACUCAUGGAAUGCCUUGAGCAGGGGGAGAAGGGAGGGGAACAGUCCUUGUGAGACUGUAACUUAACUUUUAAAAUACAGAGCUAUGGCAGUACAUUGGGUGUGGAAACCUCAAGGAAGGGUAUGAUGAUCCCAAGGUAGGAGUUAACGGUGGGGCUGAGGGGGGAAGAAUUAAUGAAGAGCCCUUCUUACUGGAUAGUAAGAGCAGGCCAGAGGCUGCUCCUGCUGUCAGGAGGGGCAGGUGACGGCUGCAGAAAAGGAAUGGCUGCUGUGGACAAGGAGGCACUCAGGCUGCACUGGGGGGAGCUACACGGGAAAUCUGGGCUCGUUCACAUUCUGGGCUCCUAAGGAAGAGAGCGCACGUCUCGGUUGCCAUCGCACGACGUGCAGCUAAGAGGGUUUGCUUGUUAAAAAAAGACAUUCUAGGGGCUGAGGGCGGGGCCGCGCCCGGGGGUCCCUCAGCGUGCCCGGGCUCUGCCGCCCCCGCGCGGCGGCCGCGGGAGCUGCGGGGCCUCCAUGGCAGGGGUGCGGCUGCGCACGCGCAGCGCUUCCCGCCGCCGGAGCGGCCCUCACAGCGCCCUCGGUGUCCCCUCAGUGUCCCCUCAGUGGCCCCACUGUGUCCCCACUGCCCUCCAAAGGGGUGAAAAUCAGCCUUUGGCGGCACCAAGAGAAUUGUUGUCUCUAAAGGUACUACUCUGGAGAACAGAUUGAGUCCUGCCAACUCACGGAGCCGGUGAAGGCUGGAAUUCACGCUUGAAUGAUUUCUGCGUUUUGGAUAAAGACACAGGAAGUAACUUUCCCUUGCUUCCUCUACAACUAAUCUCUUUGGUGAUACAAAGCGUUACCUGCGUGGAGAGGAAGAUAACAUGAAGGACUGUCUUUAAAGGAGAAAUGAAAGAAUGUUACCACCUCUUCUCAAUGUGUAGUAUUAAACAAAAAAGGAAAAAAAAAAAAGUGCCACUUUACAAACUUUGGAGAAUAAAAUUAUUUUCCCGUGGAAUUGUCAAGAGGUAGCCAAGGACAGAGAAGCCCAGUCAGUAGCACCAACCAUUCUUCCUCCGGGUCCUCGGGCGGUGGAAUGUCUGCGUCAGGCUGAGUCUCCUCAUCAUCUGACUCCCUUUCUGAAGUCUUUCCAGCAGCUUCGCUCUGACCCAGCUCCUGUACUUCGUGCCUUUUGUCGAUGAUCUUCUGAGUGAAAUCCACCAGAGCCCAGGAGCUACCUUGAUUGAUCCAAUAUGUCCUGCUCUUCUGUCUUCUGCUCAACAUCUUUCGAGGCUCGAUUUGCAACUCCUGUGUUUUGUUUG